CGCGGAGUUAAGCCCUUUUCGAGUUAAGCCCCAACCACAAUUUUUUAUGAAAGGUAGGCAUAUGGACAAAUACUGGUAAAUUUUUCUACUUUCUUCGAGUUAAGCCCCUAUUUUUUAGACUGCUUAACUUGAAGUACCCAACUCCAGUUAUGAACCUUGAGUUAAGCCCUCAACAGAUAUGGGUGUGGCAUGGGCGUGGUUUAACUCGAAAAGGGCUUAACUCAAAGGGCUUAUAAACUCGAAGGGCUUAACUCUAAAGGCUUAACUCGAAGAUUUUCUACCCCUUUACCAGUAUGGUCUGUUACUCAGAUUCAACACCCAGCACCAUUAUUCUCCACCGAUCGAGUACAAUUAUUUCCAACAACAGUUAUCACAGUUGUUUAUAUUAUUUAUAACAUACUAUUUAUCAUUCACAUUCAUCAAUAAAGUUAUAUAUUAUAUGGGUUUUAUGUCAGGGUAUUAUCACUGAGAAUCAUGUUGAAAAUACAGAUGGCAAGACUGAUUUAGGGAUGAUGAGUAAAGUUGCAGCCACCAUGUGGAAACGAUGCAGUCCUGAAGUCCGGCAGGUUGGUAUGCAAUCUUGGUAAACAUUCAAAAAUAUUUAUGAGACAGUAAAUGUCAGUGGCGUUAAGCCAGCUUAAUAAUUGGGGGGCACAUAUUCAUGUCUUCGUGUUCUGCAUUAUUCAAUUCUUUUGAAAUCGAUUGUUUUUAUGGUCUGUGAACAUGAAUAUAUGCCCCUCCCCCAAUUAUCGAGCUGGCUACAAUGAUGCAGUCAGUUUUUAUAUUUUGUAUUUUAAGGUGUAUGAAACCAAUACUAAUAAUGCUUUUGACAAAUUAACAGGACUGGAAAAGGCAAGGGCAACUUAUAAAAGAGGACAUAGAUUGUGGUAUUUUGGAACAUGUAUGUAAGAAGUGUUCAAAAAAAUUCAGUCGAGCAAAAGAUUUGGUAUAUCAUGAAAAGCAAUGUGGGCCAUGCUUGUGUGACUGUUGUGGUAAGCAGUUUUCUGGUG
Non-coding RNA from Paramuricea clavata, 1010 nucleotides. NCBI's taxonomy places the organism in Eukaryota, Metazoa, Cnidaria, Anthozoa, Malacalcyonacea, Plexauridae. The record is from the annotation of a GenBank genome assembly.